ACCUCCCGUCUGCCUGGAACAUUGCAGCUGAAGCCUCACUAAGAAGUCUGGCUCCAGUGCGUUGAGACAAGAGCAGCCUACACAGAACUGCAGACAAUUGCCUCUGUGCUGGUUCCACGUAGUUGUUUCACUAGCAUAGGCCGUUUGCCAGGAAAGUAAGAGACUAGCAUUUGCCAUGUGGCUGUUUCAAAUUCAUGUUUCAUUUGCUUUCAUGACUGUAUUUUGUUAAUAUCCUCAGCACUGUCUGUGUUUUCCUGCUGUUGUGUUCCUCUCUUCAAAUUCUUUAUUUUUUAGAUUUCUUCCUGUAUCCCAGUCUGAGAUAAAUUAUUGUUAUGGAGAACUGUUGGCUUUUGCCUUCUCCCUACAAGGAAUUUUUCCUUCCUUGUUAUCCCUACACCUUUCCUCUGAACAGACUUACCACUUCUGUGUCACAGGCUUCUAACUUGUUUGGAAGGGUUGGCCAUAUUAUAUUAAGUAUCAGUCAAAAGCUCUACAGAAGCAGGAGGAUGAGGUUCCUGUCAUCAUCUGUUUAUUGUCCAAAUUUGCUUGAUCGGUAUAGAAGGAAGAUGAAGAAAAAUCCAUAGUAGGCCAUUUAGGUAUUAAAGGCUCUGCAAAACCAUUUAUUUCCCCCACAGACAGAAAACCACCCCGUUGUUUUGCUAUCAUUGCUAGUCUUGUCCACCAUUGCUGAACUGGUACAUCCUCCUUCCACACUGACAUCCCCUGGAAACUUUGUCAGUCUCUGUGAUAAGUGGAAUAUGGCUGCAUGGAUGGAUAUCUAUGUUAUAUCCAGAGAUAAAUCUUGGCGGAGUCCCUCUAGAGCUUUUCCUGUUAUCUUCAAGGGCUUCUUCCAAGACUUGGAGGAGGAGUUGGAUAUGGACAGUUGUACUGUCCAAAGAAUACAAUUCUAGCCAUGACUAGAACCUUGAGUCUUCUUAUGCAUCAUGUGAACUGGCAGGGCCCAACAGGGAAGGGUAUUUUGUGUGUUUUCCUUUCAACAUAUUCUUACUGCUUAAAAGAACAACUAAAUUCUUCCUUCUCUAAUAACCAAGUAGGUACAAAGUCCAGGUGCCCCAUCUCUAUUCCUGGAAGAGUAGAGCCAAAUAAAAUGGGAUAUCUGUGCCAUAGGAUCACCAGCUACAAAGCUAGUUUGCCUAAGAGUGGACUGAAAAAGAUACCAGCUAACAGCUGAGCACUCUGAAAACAGGACUAUAACAAUGCAUACUGUGGUUGGUUUAGAAAUCAUUUGCAUGGAUCCUUCAUAAUUUGUGCAUGCCACUAAUUUUAACUGUUGCACUAAACUGCAAUGUAUAGAGAAGAAUGAUUUGUUGUGUCAUUUUCAUAUAAUCCGUCUGAACUCUGCUUGACGCAUGUAAAAUAAUGAAGAUUACUAGAAUAGUGACAGUUUCAGAAAAUCAGUAUAUUGCUUAAGUUUUUAUAUAUUUAUGUGUGUGUAUUUAUAUAUGGGGGAGAGUUAAGCAAUCAAACCUGCAGAAGUUGAGAAAUUUGUUUUGUUUUGUUUUACAUCAAAUAGUUUAAGUCAAAAGUUUUUGUGUUUCACAAGUCCAAAAAUGGGUCACGUGGUUUAUAAAGGUAUCUCCUAGUUAACACAUUUGGUUUCCCAAGCAAGUUGGAAGAGUUUCUCCCAAAUACUUGAUUAAUCUAUGAGAGACAGCAAUUUAUCUGCGGGGUGCACAAACUUCUGCAAGGAAGAUGUUUGUCAUCUAUCCUUAUGUAGUAUUAGAUACAAUUUCAGUAGAAAAGUUCUGUAGACUGUGCAGUUGAAAUUAAGCUCAUCUCAGGCUUAUUGCUUUUGUAUUAAAUUGUGACACACAGAGUCAUGGGUGAAUCCUUAAGCUUCCUCACAAGUACUUAAAUUGAAGGUGAAAAUAAAAUAUAGAAUCUGUAUGGGUAGGGGGGCA
RNAcentral lists this long non-coding RNA (1922 nucleotides) under Apteryx rowi (Okarito brown kiwi). RNAcentral describes it as "lncRNA (ENSARWG00000005763.1)". Lineage: Eukaryota; Metazoa; Chordata; Aves; Apterygiformes; Apterygidae. The record is from RNAcentral.